This 253-nucleotide ribosomal RNA is filed under the name uncultured bacterium. RNAcentral's name for it is "partial 16S ribosomal RNA". It matches the Rfam family "Bacterial small subunit ribosomal RNA", at positions 524 to 776 of the family's 1533-position model. The record is from RNAcentral.
UACGUAGGGGGCAAGCGUUGUCCGGAAUCAUUGGGCGUAAAGCGCGUGUAGGCGGUUCGGUAAGUCUGCUGUGAAAGUCCAGGGCUCAACCCUGGGAUGCCGGUGGAUACUGUCGGACUAGAGUUCGGCAGGGGAGACUGGAAUUCCUGGUGUAGCGGUGAAAUGCGCAGAUAUCGGGAGGAACACCCGUAGCGAAGGCGGCACUCUGGGCCGGAACUGACGCUGAGGAGCGAAAGCGUGGGGAGCAAACAGG